Molecule: small RNA, 579 nt
Filed under: Pongo abelii (Sumatran orangutan)
Lineage: Eukaryota; Metazoa; Chordata; Mammalia; Primates; Hominidae
Description: retained intron
Source: RNAcentral
GGGGAGAUCACUGGUGUGCUGAGGGUGGAAGAAAACGGGAAAGUGGAGCUAGGUGGGAAGUUCAUUGGAAUAGACGGUCCAGAGAAGAGAAUAUGGGUCAGAAGUCAUGAGGCUUUGGCUUAGCAUGGGCAGUGUGGAAAGCUCUAGAUCCAGUCCCCAAACUUGGCCCUAGUCCACUGACUUGUUACAUCAUCUUGGGCAAAACACUGUACCUUUUGAACCUCAGCUCUUUCAUCUGUAUACAAAAGUGUUAGAUCUCCUCCACGGCCCCCUUUAGUCCUCAAGUCUGUACUUUAGAGUGUUUUCAUGGGAGGGAUCCUCCCAUCUUCUUCUGCCCCAGGGUCCCCAGUUCACCUUCUCCCAGGAGGACUUGCUGACUUCCAUCCUUCCCUCCCUCACGGAAAUUGACACUGUGGUCUUCAUUUUCACCCUGGAUGACAACCUCAUGGAGGUGCAGACUAUAGUGGAGCAAGUGAAAGAGAAGACCAGCCACAUCCAGGCCUUGGCACACAGCACCAUGGGUCAGACCUUGCCGAUCCGUCUGAAGAAGCUCUUUCCCUCCAUCAUCAGCAUCACAUG